This 497-nucleotide ribosomal RNA is filed under the name uncultured bacterium. RNAcentral's name for it is "partial 16S ribosomal RNA". It matches the Rfam family "Bacterial small subunit ribosomal RNA", at positions 28 to 507 of the family's 1533-position model. The record is from RNAcentral.
GAUGAACGCUGGCGGCGUGCCUAAUACAUGCAAGUCGAGCGAACGGACGAGAAGCUUGCUUCUCUGACGUUAGCGGCGGACGGGUGAGUAACACGUGGAUAACCUACCUAUAAGACUGGGAUAACUUCGGGAAGCCGGAGCUAACACCGGAUAAUAUUUUGAACCGCAUGGUUCAAAAGUGAAAGACGGUCUUGCUGUCACUUAUAGAUGGAUCCGCGCUGCAUUAGCUAGUUGGUAAGGUAACGGCUUACCAAGGCAACUAUGCAUAGCCGACCUGAGAGGGUGAUCGGCCACACGGGAGCUGAGACGCGCACCAGAGUCCUGCGGGAGGCAGCAGAAUGGAAUGUGCGGCAGUGGGCGAGAGCCUGACGGAGCAAGGCCGCGUGAGAGAUGAAGGUCUUGGGAGCGUAAAACCCUGUUAUUAGGGAAGAACAGAUGUGGAAGGAACUGUGCACAGCGUGACGGUACCUAAUCAGAAAGCCACGGCUAACUACGUG